CUGCCGCUGGCGGAGGAGCUGCGCGGUCGGCCCGCCGUGCUGACCGGCGACGCGCAUCCGGGGCUGGGCGCCCCGGCGGUGCA
This 83-nucleotide transfer RNA is filed under the name Streptomyces albogriseolus. Its description in RNAcentral is "tRNA-Gly". The record is from RNAcentral. Lineage: Bacteria; Bacillati; Actinomycetota; Actinomycetes; Kitasatosporales; Streptomycetaceae.